GAUGAACGCUGGCGGCGUGCCUAAUACAUGCAAGUCGAGCGAACAGACGAGGAGCUUGCUCCUCUGACGUUAGCGGCGGACGGGUGAGUAACACGUGGAUAACCUACCUAUAAGACUGGGAUAACUUCGGGAAACCGGAGCUAAUACCGGAUAAUAUAUUGAACCGCAUGGUUCAAUAGUGAAAGACGGUUUUGCUGUCACUUCUAGAUGGAUCCGCGCCGCAUUAGCUAGUUGGUAAGGUAACGGCUUACCAGGGCAACGAUGCGUAGCCGACCUGAGAGGGGGAUCGGCCACACUGGAACUGGAACACGGUCCAGACUCCUACGGGAGGCAGCAGUAGGGAAUCUUCCGCAAUGGGCGAAAGCUUGACGGAGCAACGCCGCGUGAGUGAUGAAGGUCUUCGGAUCGUAAAACUCUGUUAUUAGGGAAGAACAAAUGUGUAAGUAACUAUGCACGUCUUGACGGUACCUAAUCAGAAAGCCACGGCUAACUACGUG
Molecule: ribosomal RNA, 497 nt
Filed under: uncultured bacterium
Lineage: Bacteria
Description: partial 16S ribosomal RNA
Rfam family: Bacterial small subunit ribosomal RNA
Source: RNAcentral